RNAcentral lists this long non-coding RNA (781 nucleotides) under Mus pahari (shrew mouse). RNAcentral describes it as "lncRNA (MGP_PahariEiJ_G0004010.1)". Lineage: Eukaryota; Metazoa; Chordata; Mammalia; Rodentia; Muridae. The record is from RNAcentral.
GCAAGCAGUGGGUGGGAGUUUGCUGCUGCUCUGAAGCCCUGAGUUUUGAGACCAAGAACAUGAGGAUGGAAUCCAAGAGACUCAACUCAGGCUAGUCUUAGCCACACAACUCCUUUGCUAUCUGACUUGGUCCAGCUCAGCACUUGGCUACAGUUUGCACUCAGUGAACAUUGAUUCAACUAAGUGAACUGACUCAAGGGUAUGACUUUUGAAAUUGCCUCUUGCUAACGUAGCCAGCAAGUACAUCAUCUUGGAUGGAGAUACCAAACAAAGAUCACAAGAUCGUUCUUUGUGCUUCAGAGCCACAUGGAGAAUCUCAUUGGAACAACCCAAAUUCUUAAGGCCAUACAGAAUUUUGCGUGGGAGGCUUAAAAUGUGCUAAGGAACUUUGAAGAAAGUAUAUAUAAAACACGUGCAAGCUGGGCACAGCCAGGGCUACAAGGGCUACACAGAGAAACCCUGUCUCAAAAAACCAAACAAACAAAAAAAACCAACCAAAAAAAAAAACAAAAACAAAAAAAACCCCAAAAAAGUAAACUACAAUACAUGUUUUGUUUUCUUUUCUUUUCUUUUGAUCUAACUAGUGGAAAUUAAUGACUCUGGUGUGAUUUAAGGUUACAGGUUGAUUGUCCAAUGUUAAGAAAAACAUGAAUUUUGGCUUUCUUGGGCUUAUAAAAUGACUGAAAAGUAUUUAAAUGAGUGCUUAAGUACAGGGUUAUUUGUUAUGGCAUAAAUAUACUAUUAGAAAAAAAGAAAUAAAAGUAAAGAGAAUAAAAGAAAA